GACGAACGCUGGCGGCGUGCUUAACACAUGCAAGUCGAACGGGCUCUGUCUGGCUGUGUGCUGGGUGGGGUUAGUGGCGAACGGGUGAGUAAUACGUGAGUAACCUGCCCUCUUCUUUGGGAUAAGCCUUGGAAACGGGGUCUAAUACUGGAUAUUCCUGUCUGGUCGCAUGGCUGGGUGGGGAAAGUUUUUUUCGGUGGGGGAUGGGCUCGCGGCCUAUCAGCUUGUUGGUGGGGUGAUGGCCUACCAAGGCGUCGACGGGUAGCCGGCCUGAGAGAGUGACCGGCCACACUGGGACUGAGAUACGGCCCAGACUCCUACGGGAGGCAGCAGUGGGGGAUAUUGCACAAUGGGCGCAAGCCUGAUGCAGCGACGCCGCGUGGGGGAUGACGGCUUUCGGGUUGUAAACCUCUUUCGUCGGGGGACAAGGCUCUGCUUGGUGGUGGGGUUGAGGGUACCCGGUGAAGAAGCGCCGGCUAACUACGUG
This 487-nucleotide ribosomal RNA is filed under the name uncultured bacterium. Its description in RNAcentral is "partial 16S ribosomal RNA". It matches the Rfam family "Bacterial small subunit ribosomal RNA", at positions 28 to 507 of the family's 1533-position model. The record is from RNAcentral.